CCUACGGGAGGCAGCAGUGGGGGAUAUUGCACAAUGGGCGGAACCCUGAUGCAGCGACGCCGCGUGGGUGAAGAAGGGCCUCGGCGCGUAAAGCCCUGUCAGCAGGGAAGAACAUGACGGUACCUGAAGAAGAAGCCACGGCUAACUACGUACCAGCAGCCGCGGUAAUACGGAGGGGGCAAGCGUUAUCCGGAUUUACUGGGUGUAACGGGGGCGCAGACGGCGAUGCAAGCCAGGGGUGAAAGCCCGGGGCCCAACCCCGGGACUGCUCUUGGAACUGCGUGGCUGGAGUGCAGGAGGGGCAGGUGGAAUUCCUGGUGUAGCGGUGAAAUGCGUAGAUAUCAGGAGGAACACCGGUGGCGAAGGCGGCCUGCUGGACUGCAACUGACGUUGAGGCCCGAAAGCGUGGGGAGCAAACAGGAUUAGAUACCCCUGUAGUC
Molecule: ribosomal RNA, 440 nt
Filed under: uncultured bacterium
Lineage: Bacteria
Description: partial 16S ribosomal RNA
Rfam family: Bacterial small subunit ribosomal RNA
Source: RNAcentral